UCUAAUAUGGCAGAAUAGUGCAUUGGAUUUAAACCCCAAAUAUAAAAUAAGUUUUUUUUAGAA
RNAcentral lists this transfer RNA (63 nucleotides) under Cucujoidea sp. 2 KM-2017. RNAcentral's name for it is "tRNA-Leu". It matches the Rfam family "tRNA". Rfam says of the family: Transfer RNA (tRNA) molecules are approximately 80 nucleotides in length. The record is from RNAcentral. Lineage: Eukaryota; Metazoa; Arthropoda; Insecta; Coleoptera.